UAACGAACGAGACCUUAACCUGCUAAAUAAGUCAGGCCGGCGUUUUGCUGGUCGCAGACUUCUUAGAGGGACUGUCAGCGUCUAGCUGACGGAAGUUUGAGGCAAUAACAGGUCUGUGAUGCCCUUAGAUGUUCUGGGCCGCACGCGCGCUACACUGACAGAGCCAGCGAGUUCUCACCUUGGCCGGAAGGUCUGGGUAAUCUUGUGAAACUUUGUCGUGCUGGGGAUAGAGCAUUGCAAUG
Molecule: ribosomal RNA, 242 nt
Filed under: uncultured fungus
Lineage: Eukaryota; Fungi
Description: partial small subunit ribosomal RNA
Rfam family: Eukaryotic small subunit ribosomal RNA
Source: RNAcentral